AGCGAACGUUAGCGGCAGGCUUAACACAUGCAAGUCGAGCGACAAAGGGGCUUCGGCCCUGAGUAGAGCGGCGGACGGGUGCGUAACACGUGGAUAAUCUGCCUCGUGGCGGGGGAUAACAGUCCGAAAGGACUGCUAAUACCGCAUGUCAGGUCGGAAACCCCGGUUUCUGACGAAAAGAGGGCGCCCGCAAGGGGCUCUCACCACGAGAUGAGUCCGCGGCCCAUCAGCUAGUUGGCGGUGUAAUAGACCACCAAGGCUAAGACGGGUAGCUGGUCUUAGAGGAUGAUCAGCCACACUGGAACUGAGACACGGUCCAGACUCCUACGGGAGGCAGCAGUGGGGAAUCUUGCGCAAUGGGCGAAAGCCUGACGCAGCGACGCCGCGUGGGUGAUGAA
This 398-nucleotide ribosomal RNA is filed under the name uncultured bacterium. Its description in RNAcentral is "bacterial SSU rRNA". It matches the Rfam family "Bacterial small subunit ribosomal RNA", at positions 29 to 412 of the family's 1533-position model. The record is from RNAcentral.